UGCAGAGUCAUUAAAUUUUGAUACAGUGUAGGGAUCCAAAUCAGAUUUUGAUAGAUACCAGUGUCUAAACUCUAAAGCAAUGUUUUGCAAUGCAAGAAGAUGAAAUGAUGAUCACAUAAUACUUCCAUUCUCAUUAAAUUUAGAUCAAUAACAAUGAAAGAGGACAUAGUACAAUAAUAUUAAGCCAACAAUAACAAAGGACAAGCUCAUUACUAAAUAGAUCACAUUAAAUAGGAAACGGUUCCAUUAUUCAACCACAUUAUGUAACAAUACAUUUAUUAAAAUACUAGCUUGUCAUUCAACUCAUUAAACUUCUAUGCAGCAAGUGAUUGAACAUACUCAUCCACCUCAAUGAAGUUCUUGACUGCAAAAUUUUUGACAAUACUUGGAUCAGGAAUAUCAUUACUAACUUUAACAUACUCAGCACACCAUUUCAUCUCACAUCCUUCUCCAACUGGUAUUAAAGCUAGGUGUCCCUUGAAUGAUUUGUAGUACUG
RNAcentral lists this long non-coding RNA (497 nucleotides) under Medicago truncatula (barrel medic). RNAcentral describes it as "long non-coding RNA (MTRU_LNC003031)". The record is from RNAcentral. Lineage: Eukaryota; Viridiplantae; Streptophyta; Magnoliopsida; Fabales; Fabaceae.